RNAcentral lists this ribosomal RNA (508 nucleotides) under uncultured bacterium. RNAcentral describes it as "bacterial SSU rRNA". It matches the Rfam family "Bacterial small subunit ribosomal RNA", at positions 29 to 524 of the family's 1533-position model. The record is from RNAcentral.
AGUGAACGCUGGCGGCAGGCCUAAUACAUGCAAGUCGAACGGCAGCACAGCAGAGCUUGCUCUGUGGGUGGCGAGUGGCGGACGGGUGAGGAAUACGUGGGAAUCUGCCCAGUCGUGGGGGAUAACGUAGGGAAACUUACGCUAAUACCGCAUGCGCCCUUCGGGGGAAAGCCGGGGACCUUCGGGCCUGGCGCGAUUGGAUGAGCCCACGUCGGAUUAGCUAGUUGGUGGGGUAAAGGCCCACCAAGGCGACGAUCCGUAGCUGGUCUGAGAGGAUGAUCAGCCACACUGGAACUGAGACACGGUCCAGACUCCUACGGGAGGCAGCAGUAGGGAAUAUUGGACAAAUGGGCGCAAGCCUGAUCCAGCCAUGCCGCGUGAGUGAAGAAGGCCCUCGGGUUGUAAAGCUCUUUUGUCCGGAAAGAAAAGCGCCGGGUUAAUACCCUGGUGUCCUGACGGUACCGGAAGAAUAAGCACCGGCUAACUUCGUGCCAGCAGCCGCGGUAAU